AAGCGGGAAGCGUGCCUGAAGAUGAGACGUCCCGGGGACUUGAUCCCCCUGAAGGGUCGUGGCAGACCACCACGUUGAUAGGCCGGGUGUGGAAGCGCGGUAACGCGUGCAGCUAACCGGUACUAAUGGCCCGUGCGGCUUGACCUCAUAACUGUG
This 156-nucleotide ribosomal RNA is filed under the name Betaproteobacteria bacterium. RNAcentral describes it as "partial 23S ribosomal RNA". It matches the Rfam family "Bacterial large subunit ribosomal RNA", at positions 2783 to 2925 of the family's 2925-position model. Lineage: Bacteria; Pseudomonadati; Pseudomonadota; Betaproteobacteria. The record is from RNAcentral.